Molecule: ribosomal RNA, 253 nt
Filed under: uncultured bacterium
Lineage: Bacteria
Description: partial 16S ribosomal RNA
Rfam family: Bacterial small subunit ribosomal RNA
Source: RNAcentral
UACGGAGGAUCCGAGCGUUAUCCGGAUUUAUUGGGUUUAAAGGGUGCGUAGGCGGCCUUUUAAGUCAGCGGUGAAAGUCUGUGGCUCAACCAUAGAAUUGCCGUUGAAACUGGGGGGCUUGAGUAUGUUUGAGGCAGGCGGAAUGCGUGGUGUAGCGGUGAAAUGCGUAGAUAUAUGGAAGAACACCAGUGGCGAAAGCGGCUCUCUGGUCUGUAACUGACGCUGAGGUUCGAAAGCGUGGGUAGCAAACAGG